GAUGAACGCUGGCGGCGUGCCUAAUACAUGCAAGUCGAGCGAACGGACGAGAAGCUUGCUUCUCUGAUGUUAGCGGCGGACGGGUGAGUAACACGUGGAUAACCUACCUACAAGACUGGGAUAACUUCGGGAAACCGGAGCUAAUACCGGAUAAUAUUUUGAACCGCAUGGUUCAAAAGUGAAAGACGGUCUUGCUGUCACUUAUAGAUGGAUCCGCGCUGCAUUAGCUAGUUGGUAAGGUAACGGCUUACCAAGGCAACGAUGCAUAGCCGACCUGAGAGGGUGAUCGGCCACACUGGAACUGAGACACGGUCCAGACUCCUACGGGAGGCAGCAGUAGGGAAUCUUCCGCAAUGGGCGAAAGCCUGACGGAGCAACGCCGCGUGAGUGAUGAAGGUCUUCGGAUCGUAAAACUCUGUUAUUAGGGAAGAACAUAUGUGUAAGUAACUGUGCACAUCUUGACGGUACCUAAUCAGAAAGCCACGGCUAACUACGUGCCAGCAGCCGCGGUAAUACGUAGGUGGCAAGCGUUAUCCGGAAUUAUUGGGCGUAAAGCGCGCGUAGGCGGUUUUUUAAGUCUGAUGUGAAAGCCCACGGCUCAACCGUGGAGGGUCAUUGGAAACUGGAAAACUUGAGUGCAGAAGAGGAAAGUGGAAUUCCAUGUGUAGCGGUGAGAUGCGCAGAGAUAUGGAGGAACACCAGUGGCGAAGGCGACUUUCUGGUCUGUAACUGACGCUGAUGUGCGAAAGCGUGGGGAUCAAACAGGAUUAGAUACCCUGGUAGUCCACGCCGUAAACGAUGAGUGCUAAGUGUUAGGGGGUUUCCGCCCCUUAGUGCUGCAGCUAACGCAUUAAGCACUCCGCCUGGGGAGUACGACCGCAAGGUUGAAACUCAAAGGAAUUGACGGGGACCCGCACAAGCGGUGGAGCAUGUGGUUUAAUUCGAAGCAACGCGAAGAACCUUACCAAAUCUUGACAUCCUUUGACAACUCUAGAGAUAGAGCUUUCCCCUUCGGGGGACAAAGUGACAGGUGGUGCAUGGUUGUCGUCAGCUCGUGUCGUGAGAUGUUGGGUUAAGUCCCGCAACGAGCGCAACCCUUAAGCUUAGUUGCCAUCAUUAAGUUGGGCACUCUAAGUUGACUGCCGGUGACAAACCGGAGGAAGGUGGGGAUGACGUCAAAUCAUCAUGCCCCUUAUGAUUUGGGCUACACACGUGCUACAAUGGACAAUACAAAGGGCAGCGAAACCGCGAGGUCAAGCAAAUCCCAUAAAGUUGUUCUCAGUUCGGAUUGUAGUCUGCAACUCGACUACAUGAAGCUGGAAUCGCUAGUAAUCGUAGAUCAGCAUGCUACGGUGAAUACGUUCCCGGGUCU
RNAcentral lists this ribosomal RNA (1372 nucleotides) under uncultured bacterium. Its description in RNAcentral is "bacterial SSU rRNA". It matches the Rfam family "Bacterial small subunit ribosomal RNA", at positions 28 to 1381 of the family's 1533-position model. The record is from RNAcentral.